This 253-nucleotide ribosomal RNA is filed under the name uncultured bacterium. RNAcentral describes it as "partial 16S ribosomal RNA". It matches the Rfam family "Bacterial small subunit ribosomal RNA", at positions 524 to 776 of the family's 1533-position model. The record is from RNAcentral.
UACGUAGGUGGCAAGCGAUACUCGGAAUCACUAGGCGUAAAGCGCAGGUAGGCGGUUUGGUAAGUCUUUUGUGAAAGCUCCCGGCUCAACUGGGAGAGGUCAAGGGAAACUACCAGACUAGAGUGUGGUAGGGGAUACUGGAAUUCCUGGUGUAGCGGUGAAAUGCGUAGAUAUCAGGAGGAAUACCUAUGGCGAAAGCAGGUAUCUGGGCCAUCACUGACGCUGAGCUGCGAAAGCUAGGGGAGCAAACAGG